ACUGGCGGCAUCAACGUGGUGGACGAUUUGGCGCGAAAGAAAUAAUAUUAUUUUUAGAAAUCUAGAUGCCGACGCUAUCGUUUCUGUGCAACGCAUUGGGAUACUGGCAAAGGAGUGGGCUGAGUUUUGUAGAGCUGGGUGAUAUCCGCUUUAUUUGAGUGUUUGAUUCGACGUUUGUAGUUGGUUUUUAUUCACUUGUUUAU
This 203-nucleotide long non-coding RNA is filed under the name Ananas comosus (pineapple). Its description in RNAcentral is "long non-coding RNA (ACOM_LNC034700)". Lineage: Eukaryota; Viridiplantae; Streptophyta; Magnoliopsida; Poales; Bromeliaceae. The record is from RNAcentral.